Molecule: long non-coding RNA, 1752 nt
Organism: Dicentrarchus labrax (European seabass)
Lineage: Eukaryota; Metazoa; Chordata; Actinopteri; Moronidae
Exons: 2
Source: RefSeq, a predicted model, not a curated record
UGCAACACAGACACUCCUCCCUCAACAGGUAUAAAUUACAGAUAAAAAAUAUUCUGCUGCAUUAUUCAACAUAUUGUAGGGAACCAUCGAAGGAAACAUAUUUUGCAUUUCUUAAUGCUAGGCUGUCAAUUGAAUUGAAACUGCUUUGUGGAUUUAAAUGAAGGUUUACUGUAGGCUGUACACUCGGCAGCUUUAUUUUGUAAGGGAAGAUAAUUGCAAAUAUAAUUGAAAAAACUGCAUUCAGUCUGUAAUAACAUAUUAGUAUCUGUACGGUUGGCUCUGUGGUGGAACUUAUACUGUCUCUUGAUCUUUUCAAUCAGGUGGAGUUUUGCAUAUUUUCUGCUCUCAUACUGUACUUGUACUUGUAAGUGAAGGGUUACAUAAUCAUGACGGCCUUCAUAUUUUAGGGUGUUUAAUUGUAAUACUUUUUCAAUGUUGAAGGUUUGUGUUUUAGUCCAUUGACUUUGAUUUAGUUCUUUUUUUGAUAGCUGAAGUGCAACAGGAAAGGGAAGAGAGAAAGGUGGCAGCACACAGCAAAGAGAAACCCAUGGCUGCUGCAGCCUUGGUACAUGGGGUGCCAGGUCUACCAGCUCCACCUAAUUCAUUAACUUUCAAAAGAUAGAUAGAUAGAUAGAUAGAUAGAUAGAUAGAUAGAUAGAUAGAUAGAUAGAUAGAUAGAUAGAUAGAUAGAUAGAUAUUAUUGUUCUCCAUAUUGUGGAUGUUUCAGUCUUAGUGCACCUAUCUAAUGAAAACCAUGAGACACUGAACAUAAACAUAUACACGAUGGGUUGCUUCUUAAAUUCAUUAAGUGUGACAACGUAGAGAAAUAUUGAUUGCAGAAUUAUUGUCCUGCUCGAGACUGGUUCUCUUGCAGUGACUUUCUUCAUUAUGCUCCAUUCUUAGUUUUUCACAACAUGUCAUAGCCCAGCUGAAUGAAAAGUGCCUCCACAUCAUGAGGCUUCAAACCUCAUAUUUGACAAACACAGGCACUGUGGCCAGCAGUUCCAUAGAGCUGUGUGUGAUGUGGAGUAUGUCAUGCAGAGAGAUGGUGUAAAACCUGACCCAGAGAACGCGAUUGUCCUAAAGGGUUAUUUAGAAAUGUGGAGCAUUGUGCUUGCUUUCUUUGGACUCUUGACUGAUGCUUCUCAUCAGAACUCAAAUGCACAUAUAUAGGUCUGCAGAAGUUUUUCCUCUAUCUAGAUGGACAAAGGAUGUCACCAAAGGGACAAUUCCUAAAAAACAGGCUGCUGGUGUGAGUGCGUUUAAAAAAUAAUUCAUGCAUAUAUCCUGAAGUCUGUGUCCCAGACUUGUGUUUUUCACUACAUAAAAUUAAAAGCUUUGAAACAGCUAGGAAAAGUUGUAAGGGUAUCCCAAAGUACUAUUUAUUAAUUUAUUGUAAGCAAUUUCUGUCCUAUGCAUUUGUGUGGAUGGAUUAGUCACACCUUUAACCCAGUAAUAUGCAUACAGUGUUGUCACAAUGGACAUUUGCAGACAAUACCACACACAAAUAAUGUUAUUCCUGCUUGUUGAAGAAAAUAUUUCUCCACUGAUAGUAAGAUUAUUGCUUGACUUUUGGGGAUUUACGAUGUACUUUGAUAUAUUUUUAUUGAUAUAUUGAUUGUAUUUUCUUCAAUCUUGAAAGCAUGGAAAAAUCUUUGUGUCAUCCUGCAGAAUUAUUUAGGCUCAGUUUCCUUUGGAGUCUAACAUUUUUAAAAUUGUAAUACAUUUCUAAUAAAGAUUUUGUGCAUUAUG